RNAcentral lists this long non-coding RNA (224 nucleotides) under Mustela putorius furo (domestic ferret). Its description in RNAcentral is "lncRNA (ENSMPUG00000026958.1)". The record is from RNAcentral. Lineage: Eukaryota; Metazoa; Chordata; Mammalia; Carnivora; Mustelidae.
CGGGUAGUCACAGUGUGGGUUGGUCAAGGCAACUGAGUGAAUAAGUCUUUCUCAAGAGAGUAUACUUAGUGACCAGAAAGGAAGGACAGACGUCCUGUUGGAUUUUAGAAUUCAGGUUCAUGCACAAGUCAAGACGGCUACCUCAAGGCACUAACCAGGAAGAGAAUGGUAAGCGGUAGGCCGCGGACAAACUGGGAAUACUCCAGUUUGCUUAAAUCAAUAGG